This 73-nucleotide transfer RNA is filed under the name Ectrychotes andreae. RNAcentral describes it as "tRNA-Val". Lineage: Eukaryota; Metazoa; Arthropoda; Insecta; Hemiptera; Reduviidae. The record is from RNAcentral.
ACAGGUUAUAGCUUAACUUAUAAGUAUUAUUAUUUACAUUAAUAAUGUAGUUGGUGUAAAACGACUUAACUUG